UGACGGCCUUCGGGUUGUAAACCUCUUUCAGUAGGGAAGAAGCGUAAGUGACGGUACCUGCAGAAGAAGCGCCGGCUAACUACGUGCCAGCAGCCGCGGUAAUACGUAGGGCGCAAGCGUUAUCCGGAAUUAUUGGGCGUAAAGAGCUCGUAGGCGGUUUGUCGCGUCUGCCGUGAAAGUCCGGGGCUCAACUCCGGAUCUGCGGUGGGUACGGGCAGACUAGAGUGAUGUAGGGGAGACUGGAAUUCCUGGUGUAGCGGUGAAAUGCGCAGAUAUCAGGAGGAACACCGAUGGCGAAGGCAGGUCUCUGGGCAUUAACUGACGCUGAGGAGCGAAAGCAUGGGGAGCGAACAGGAUUAGAUACCCUGGUAGUCCAUGCCGUAAACGUUGGGCACUAGGUGUGGGGGACAUUCCACGUUUUCCGCGCCGUAGCUAACGCAUUAAGUGCCCCGCCUGGGGAGUACGGCCGCAAGGCUAAAACUCAAAGGAAUUGACGGGGGCCCGCACAAGCGGCGGAGCAUGCGGAUUAAUUCGAUGCAACGCGAAGAACCUUACCAAGGCUUGACAUGAACCGGACCGCUGCAGAAAUGUGGUUUCCCCUUUGGGGCUGGUUUACAGGUGGUGCAUGGUUGUCGUCAGCUCGUGUCGUGAGAUGUUGGGUUAAGUCCCGCAACGAGCGCAACCCUCGUUCUAUGUUGCCAGCACGUG
RNAcentral lists this ribosomal RNA (708 nucleotides) under uncultured Arthrobacter sp. RNAcentral's name for it is "bacterial SSU rRNA". It matches the Rfam family "Bacterial small subunit ribosomal RNA", at positions 409 to 1127 of the family's 1533-position model. Lineage: Bacteria; Bacillati; Actinomycetota; Actinomycetes; Micrococcales; Micrococcaceae. The record is from RNAcentral.